GAGGGUAUAGCUCAGUGGUAGAGCACAUGCUUAGCAUGCACAAGGUCCUGGGUUCAAUCCCUAGUACCGCUA
RNAcentral lists this transfer RNA (72 nucleotides) under Camelus bactrianus (Bactrian camel). It matches the Rfam family "tRNA". Rfam says of the family: Transfer RNA (tRNA) molecules are approximately 80 nucleotides in length. Lineage: Eukaryota; Metazoa; Chordata; Mammalia; Artiodactyla; Camelidae. RNAcentral also lists the same sequence under 2 other names. The record is from Rfam by way of RNAcentral.